Molecule: ribosomal RNA, 443 nt
Filed under: uncultured bacterium
Lineage: Bacteria
Description: partial 16S ribosomal RNA
Rfam family: Bacterial small subunit ribosomal RNA
Source: RNAcentral
CCUACGGGAGGCAGCAGUGGGGAAUAUUGGGCAAUGGGCGAAAGCCUGACCCAGCAACGCCGCGUGAAGGAAGAAGGCUUUCGGGUUGUAAACUUCUUUUGUCAGGGACGAAGCAAGUGACGGUACCUGACGAAUAAGCCACGGCUAACUACGUGCCAGCAGCCGCGGUAAUACGUAGGGGGCAAGCGUUAUCCGGAUUUACUGGGUGUAAAGGGCGGGUAGGCGGGACUGCAAGUCAGAUGUGAAAACUCAGGGCUCAACCCUGAGCCUGCAUUUGAAACUGUAGUUCUUGAGUACUGGAGAGGCAGACGGAAUUCCUAGUGUAGCGGUGAAAUGCGUAGAUAUUAGGAGGAACACCAGUGGUGAAGGCGGUCUGCUGGACAGCAACUGACGCUGAGGCGCGAAAGCGUGGGGAGCAAACAGGAUUAGAUACCCGAGUAGUC